GGAAUAUUGCACAAUGGGGGAAACCCUGAUGCAGCGACGCCGCGUGAGUGAAGAAGUAUUUCGGUAUGUAAAGCUCUAUCAGCAGGGAAGAAAACAAUGACAGUACCUGACUAAGAAGCCCCGGCUAACUACGUGCCAGCAGCCGCGGUAAUACGUAGGGGGCAAGCGUUAUCCGGAUUUACUGGGUGUAAAGGGAGCGUAGGCGGUGCGGCAAGUCAGAAGUGAAAGCCCGGGGCUCAACUCCGGGACUGCUUUUGAAACUGUCGGACUGGAGUGUCGGAGAGGUAAGUGGAAUUCCUAGUGUAGCGGUGAAAUGCGUAGAUAUUAGGAGGAACACCAGUGGCGAAGGCGGCUUACUGGACGAUCACUGACGCUGAGGCUCGAAAGCGUGGGGAGCAAACA
RNAcentral lists this ribosomal RNA (402 nucleotides) under uncultured bacterium. RNAcentral's name for it is "bacterial SSU rRNA". It matches the Rfam family "Bacterial small subunit ribosomal RNA", at positions 358 to 774 of the family's 1533-position model. The record is from RNAcentral.